Lagenorhynchus albirostris (white-beaked dolphin) is the source of this 554-nucleotide long non-coding RNA. RefSeq lists it as uncharacterized. The record is from RefSeq and is a predicted model, not a curated record. The transcript is spliced from 3 exons. NCBI's taxonomy places the organism in Eukaryota, Metazoa, Chordata, Mammalia, Artiodactyla, Delphinidae.
GCCGCUGCAGGCCGCCUUCAGGGGCUGCCGGCGAGGCAGUUCUGUCCUCAUUAAAAGUAGGCGCGUCCAAGCCGAGGAGCUUCCCAAAGCUGCGGAUCUCGACCCCCCUCCCACGGCAGGCUGAAACCGACCCUUAGGGACGUCACCAAGGGCAGGCACGCACUGGAAGGCGUCUCUUCUCUGUGCUAGCGUGACUGUGGCGGUUGACACCCUCUGAGGACUCUCGAAGCCCAGCGCGUACACGGGAAUGUGCGCAAACUUCUUAGACGGCAUCUUCAUCUGCAACACAGAGAGACACUCCAGGCACCCUGGUCCCCCCGAGCAGCUGCCAACACACAAGAUGGAGCAUUGCGGUCUGUAUGUAAUCAGCACUUAACACUGACGAGGCGGUCUCUCUACAGCCAAGUGGCAGCAUGAAAAUACCUUAAAGAUGUUGUUCCACUGACAUCUUGCCUGCAAUGUUUUGAUGAGGAACCUGCAGUCAUCUUUCUCUUUCUCUGUACAUAACAUGUCUUUAUUUGCUGACUGACUUUAGGAAUUUCUCUUUAUCACCG